CCUACGGGGGGCAGCAGUGGGGAAUAUUGCACAAUGGGGGAAACCCUGAUGCAGCGACGCCGCGUGAGUGAAGAAGUAAUUCGUUAUGUAAAGCUCUAUCAGCAGGGAAGAAAAUGACGGUACCUGAGUCAGAAGACACGGCUAACUACGUGCCAGCAGCCGCGGUAAUACGUAGGGGGCAAGCGUUAUCCGGAUUUACUGGGUGUAAAGGGAGCGUAGACGGCAGUGCAAGUCUGGAGUGAAAGGCGGGGGCUCAACCCCCGGACUGCUCAGGAAACUGUACGGCUGGAGUGCAGGAGGGGUAAGUGGAAUUCCUGGUGUAGCGGUGAAAUGCGUAGAUAUUGGGAGGAACACCAGUGGCGAAGGCGGCUUACUGGACUGUAACUGACGUUGAGGCUCGAAAGCGUGGGGAGCAAACGGGAUUAGAUACCCGGGUAGUC
Molecule: ribosomal RNA, 440 nt
Filed under: uncultured bacterium
Lineage: Bacteria
Description: partial 16S ribosomal RNA
Rfam family: Bacterial small subunit ribosomal RNA
Source: RNAcentral